Molecule: long non-coding RNA, 1625 nt
Filed under: Nicotiana benthamiana
Lineage: Eukaryota; Viridiplantae; Streptophyta; Magnoliopsida; Solanales; Solanaceae
Description: long non-coding RNA (NBEN_LNC007135)
Source: RNAcentral
AUGAAAUAUAUUCAUCUCUUUUUGAGAUUAGGAGAGUUCUCCUUAAGUUCUUCCAAGAACUUGUCUUGAUUGCUUCAAGGAUAGUUUCUCCUUGUAAGUAAUCUUCUAUCUUAGGUGAUAGGUUAGGUUACUUGAUUGUUUCUCUUGAGGUUGUGGAUUUAAUAUAUUCAUGGUUUCUUGCGCUUCUAAUCUUGGGGUCUAAUCUCCAUGUAUGUUUCAUAAUUUUAUCUUUUAUCGUACGUCACUUCCUAUCAUAUUUACGCCAUAUAUCUUUUGAUCUUUGGGUUCGACAUCAUAAUCAUCAUAGAAAACAUACUUGAAGCGGAAUCCAUUAUCUUGAAGAGGAAGCGUUAAUUGAAAUUGGUUUCUCGCCCCUUGCCCUAGCUUCUGUUACCGCCAAAUUUAGUGAUGGAAGAGAGAAAAAAAUAUGUUAACCCUAAUGGCUGGCAAGAGGACCAAAUUUAUUGAGGUUCUCACUUAAUACGGUACGUCCAUCAACUAACCGAUCGGACGGAUGAGAUUUGCUGAAUAAUUAAAUAUUAAUUCUGGACAUAAACCUAUUGGGCCACAUACAUGUAGAAAAAAUAAUUUACAUUGAAAGCUUGAAACAUGGGCUAACCGAGUGCAAGUUUGGGCACUUGGGCAGCAAGUAUGUUUUUUAUACCGUGAAAACAUAAACGGUGAAUCUAGCCGGCUAUUUGUGUAAUAAUUCCUUUCUUAAAAGAAAUAAUCCAAAUAGUCAUCCAUCUAAUCUCUUAAACCACAUUAGUUGAUAGAUAUAUAAUAUAGUAUGUAAACGUUUAUGUAGAUUAUCUGCAUAACAGUGUAUAAUCUAUGUCAGAGGUAGAACCGGUAUUUCAAUUUUAUGGGUUCUAAAUUUUAAAGAGUUACGACUUUGAAUGUUAAUUAGUGGGUUCUAAAUUUAAUAAUUGUACAUUAUUAAUUAAUUCCAGCAUGAAAUACACUAUUUAAGUAAAAGCUACUAGGUUCGUCCGAACCCGCAAUUCAGCUUAUGCCUCCGCCCUUGAUUUAUGUAUAUGGCUAGAAAAAGUAAAUAGUGAAGCUGGCCUGCUAACAAUCCAUUUUCUAAAUCACUUAACCUUGGUGACUUAAAUCAAUACUAAUUUUUGUUAGUUGAUAAACAUGUAAUUAAGCAAAAGAAAAUCCUAGGUUAAAGUCCCUUUUAUAAUUUGCUAUUAAGAAAGGAAACCUUCCCACUCAAUUUCUAAUUAAACUAUGUUUGAGAAGUAUUGUACACGGCUAAAAUUAGAGAGUCUGAUUUUAUGAUAAUUAUAGCAUUCCAUAGUCAGUCUCCAGCGGGCUCGAGGCACAGCUCAAGGUUUGACCCCGAGGGUUUCAUACAUUCGAUCUCGGGGCAGCGCAAAUCAGUGGCUAUCACGGACAUGUGGAAAAUUCCCGAAGCAUGUAGUCUAAGCUAACAACGCCUGCAAGGAUAGUACAAGUUUGUACCAGACCAUUAAGUAUUUGUACCGGCUACUUUCCUUUGUAAUAAUUAUACAUAUACCAUGUUAGGAUUCUCCCUCCUAUAUAAAGGGGACCCUUAUCACUUUGUAAAACACACAUGAUAUUCAAUACAAGAACAAGAACAUUCUCUUUUUCUAACU